Molecule: transfer RNA, 72 nt
Filed under: Camelus bactrianus (Bactrian camel)
Lineage: Eukaryota; Metazoa; Chordata; Mammalia; Artiodactyla; Camelidae
Also listed under: 2 other names
Rfam family: tRNA
About the family: Transfer RNA (tRNA) molecules are approximately 80 nucleotides in length. Their secondary structure includes four short double-helical elements and three loops (D, anti-codon, and T loops). Further hydrogen bonds mediate the characteristic L-shaped molecular structure. tRNAs have two regions of fundamental functional importance: the anti-codon, which is responsible for specific mRNA codon recognition, and the 3' end, to which the tRNAs corresponding amino acid is attached (by aminoacyl-tRNA synthetases). tRNAs cope with the degeneracy of the genetic code in two manners: having more than one tRNA (with a specific anti-codon) for a particular amino acid; and 'wobble' base-pairing, i.e. permitting non-standard base-pairing at the 3rd anti-codon position.
Source: Rfam by way of RNAcentral
GAGGGUAUUACUCAGUGGUAGAGUGCAUGCCUAGCAUGCACGAGGUUUUGGGUUCAAUCCCCGGUACCUCCA